CGCGUAGGCGGCCUGCCAAGUCAGAUGUGAAAUCCCACGGCUCAACCGUGGACGUGCAUCUGAAACUGGUAGGCUUGAGUACUGGAGGGGAGUGUGGAAUUCCUGGUGUAGAGGUGAAAUUCGUAGAGAUCAGGAGGAAUACCGGUGGCGAAGGCGACACUCUGGACAGAUACUGACGCUGAGGCGCGAAAGCGUGGGGAGCAAACA
This 207-nucleotide ribosomal RNA is filed under the name uncultured bacterium. Its description in RNAcentral is "partial 16S ribosomal RNA". It matches the Rfam family "Bacterial small subunit ribosomal RNA", at positions 568 to 774 of the family's 1533-position model. The record is from RNAcentral.